Molecule: long non-coding RNA, 223 nt
Organism: Physella acuta
Lineage: Eukaryota; Metazoa; Mollusca; Gastropoda; Physidae
Source: RefSeq, a predicted model, not a curated record
CUCACCUCUGUGUGCUUUUGUUGACACCACAUUUAGCAAAGGGACAAACGUCUACUGGUCUGAUGUAGGCUGUCGAAUCGUCUCUCAAAACUUCACUCAUGUGGUUUGCUCCUGCCAGCAUAUGACCAACUUUGCCGUCGUUAUGAGCAGGUUUGAAAAUAGAGAUGAUGACCCAAUACUGACCUGGAUGACCAAGAUAGGAAUUUACAUAUCACUUAGCAGC